GGGCGCAUGGUCUAGAGGUAUGAUAUUCGCUUUGCAUCUGAAAUUCAGAAUAAUGCCUGCGAAGGGUCCGGGGUUCAAUUCCCCGUGCGUCCA
This 93-nucleotide transfer RNA is filed under the name Xylaria arbuscula. RNAcentral describes it as "tRNA-Ala". It matches the Rfam family "tRNA". From Rfam's summary of the family: Transfer RNA (tRNA) molecules are approximately 80 nucleotides in length. Their secondary structure includes four short double-helical elements and three loops (D, anti-codon, and T loops). RNAcentral also lists the same sequence under 1 other name. The record is from RNAcentral. Lineage: Eukaryota; Fungi; Ascomycota; Sordariomycetes; Xylariales; Xylariaceae.